Long non-coding RNA from Triticum dicoccoides, 944 nucleotides. RefSeq lists it as uncharacterized. The transcript has 4 exons. NCBI's taxonomy places the organism in Eukaryota, Viridiplantae, Streptophyta, Magnoliopsida, Poales, Poaceae. The record is from RefSeq and is a predicted model, not a curated record.
CCCCAAUCUGUCGAUCCCCUCUCCGCUUGCCUCCUCCUCUCCCGGGUCGCCGCGCCGCCGACUCAGCCGCUUCUCCUGCGCCUUCUCCUCCCCGCUCCCCAGAUCGGCGUCCAGCGCAGGAGGAUCCGGGUGGUCGUGGUGGCGGCAUGUUCAGCGGCCUCGCCGGAUUGUUAGCCUCCUCAAUCCCCUCGCACAGGCGCCGCCGCCAAGCCUGCCCUCGACCGUGGCGCCGCCGGCGUCACUCCUGUCGCUCGUGCCGCCACCGCCACCGGCCCUCGCACAGCCGCAGCUGCAUGCUCUCCUCUGCUGCCCCAGCGCCCCGAGCAUCACCCCGUCGAAUAGGCGCUCCCCACGUUAGCGCCUUCUCCAUGGAUCAGCCACUGACGGCCAUCAACGCCGGUGACCCAAUCCAUAGGAAGCCGCCAGCCGUCGCCGAGGACAGAGAAGGUCCGGUGUCUAGAACCGUCGCUACCUAUCCUGCCAAGCUUCCCGCCCAGGACGAGUAUCCCUCCCAGCCCCCUGCGCCACCAUCCGCCUCUGGCAAUUUCGUAUGCGUGUAGGCGACAGUGGAACAAAUUCAGACAGUCAGUUAUCCGUCCGUCAGAAUAUUCAGGUGUUUGGCAAUAUUGGCUCUUGGGCUGCCCAAUUGAUCACUGAAGCUGGUGGCAAGGUGGUCUCCAUCAGAGAUGUCACAGGGGCUGUCAAGAACUCCAAUGGCAUUGACAUAGCCAAGCUGAUGAAGCACUCGGCAGAGAACCGCGGGAUCAAGGGCUUUGACGGAGGCGACGCCGUCGACCCGACCUCGCUGCUCACGGAAGAGUGCGAUGUGCGCAUCCCGGAAGCUCUGGGAGGAGUCAUAAACAAGGACAAUGCUGAUGCCAUAAAAGCAAAGUACAUCAUCGAGGCUGUUAACCACCCAACAGACCCUGAGGCCGACGAGGCAA